Molecule: long non-coding RNA, 212 nt
Filed under: Mytilus galloprovincialis (Mediterranean mussel)
Lineage: Eukaryota; Metazoa; Mollusca; Bivalvia; Mytilida; Mytilidae
Source: RNAcentral
GUCAGGUUUUGGUUGCCAAACUGCACUUAUUAAAAUAAUAGAAGACUGGAAAAAAGCUCUGGACGAGAACAAAUUUAUUGCUGCAAUUUUGAUGGAUCUAUCUAAAGCAUUUGAUUGUUUACCGCACGAUUUACUUUUACUUAAAUUGGAAGCAUACGAUCUGUCUAAAAAUUCUCUAAAAUUAUUAAAAAGUUAUUUAGAAAACCGCAAAC